UAACAGCGUUCUCACUGCCGGAACUCCUGGAGUAUCGAAUGCCGGCCCCAGGAGGAACGGCAGCCCAACGAGGAUCUGUUCCCAAACCCAAAGGCGGUAUAUUCGCGAGGGGGGCUGCCUGCAACACCACUAGGUGUAGACAACAGAGGAAGAUCA
This is a long non-coding RNA of Haliotis rubra (blacklip abalone), 156 nucleotides long. RefSeq lists it as uncharacterized. The record is from RefSeq and is a predicted model, not a curated record. The transcript is spliced from 4 exons. Lineage: Eukaryota; Metazoa; Mollusca; Gastropoda; Lepetellida; Haliotidae.